This 489-nucleotide ribosomal RNA is filed under the name uncultured bacterium. RNAcentral's name for it is "bacterial SSU rRNA". It matches the Rfam family "Bacterial small subunit ribosomal RNA", at positions 28 to 511 of the family's 1533-position model. The record is from RNAcentral.
GACGAACGCUGGCGGCGUGCUUAACACAUGCAAGUCUACGAGAACGAGGUAGCAAUAUCUCUAUUAAAGUGGCGCACGGGUGCGUAACACGUAAGCAAUCUACCUUUGGGUCUGGAAUAACUUCGAGAAAUCGAGGCUAAUACCGGAUAAUGCAGCGGCAUCGCAUGGUGAUGUUGUUAAAGUUUAAGUAAUGCCUAUAGAUGAGCUUGCGUCUGAUUAGCUAGUUGGUAGGGUAAAAGCCUACCAAGGCUACGAUCAGUAGCUGGUCUGAGAGGAUGAUCAGCCACACUGGAACUGAGACACGGUCCAGACUCCUACGGGAGGCAGCAGUGAGGAAUAUUGGGCAAUGCCCGCAAGGGUGACCCAGCAACGCCGCGUGGAGGAUGAAGGCCGUAAGGUUGUAAACUCCUGUUAGAGGAGAAGAACAGUACCGAUUGGAUCGGUAUUUGACUGUACCCUCAGAGAAAGCCCCGGCUAACUACGUGCCAG